This 442-nucleotide ribosomal RNA is filed under the name uncultured bacterium. Its description in RNAcentral is "partial 16S ribosomal RNA". It matches the Rfam family "Bacterial small subunit ribosomal RNA", at positions 338 to 795 of the family's 1533-position model. The record is from RNAcentral.
CCUACGGGUGGCUGCAGUGGGGAAUAUUGGGCAAUGGGCGCAAGCCUGACCCAGCAACGCCGCGUGAAGGAAGAAGGCUUUCGGGUUGUAAACUUCUUUUAAUAGGGAAGCGCAGAAGACGGUACUUCUUGAAUCAGCCAUGGCUAACUACGUGCCAGCAGCCGCGGUAAUACGUAGGUGGCAAGCGUUGUCCGGAUUUACUGGGUGUAAAGGGCGUGUAGCCGGGCUGACAAGUCAGAUGUGAAAUCCGGGGGCUCAACCCCCGAACUGCAUUUGAAACUGUUGGGCUUGAGUAUCGGAGAGGCAGGCGGAAUUCCUAGUGUAGCGGUGAAAUGCGUAGAUAUUAGGAGGAACACCAGUGGCGAAGGCGGCCUGCUGGACGACAACUGACGGUGAGGCGCGAAAGCGUGGGGAGCAAACAGGAUUAGAUACCCUUGUAGUC